Molecule: long non-coding RNA, 3228 nt
Organism: Apis mellifera (honey bee)
Lineage: Eukaryota; Metazoa; Arthropoda; Insecta; Hymenoptera; Apidae
Exons: 17
Source: RefSeq, a predicted model, not a curated record
UGUUUAAUUUGAAAGUGUGAUAGUGUGGAAAUGGACAAUGUGUAAAUAUUCGACAAUGUGGAAAUUAUAAUGGUCUAAUCUCGUGGUUUAUGUUCUAAAAACUGUAAAUACUGUGAUGGAAUAUUUAAAGAACUUGGUGAGAAAAGAAAAUUGUUCAAUUGCCAUUAAUAAAUUUUUAAUAAUUUGUAAUGAAAUGACAACACUCGUUUCAUUAGAAUCCAUUGUGCAUUGUGUUUUCAUGUGAAAAUGGUAAAGGAAGUUUUGACUCUAGUCUUCUUAAAUAUGAAAAAAUUCAUCCAAUAUACCUGUCAUUGCCAACGUACACAGGCAGCCAUAAGAUGUUAUGCAGAUGCACGACCAUUAACUUUAAAGCUAUUCUAUUUUAUCAUCUUUAAACGUAUGAAACGAAGCAAGAAAUUUGGUUACCAGAUAUAGGAACUUUUGAUCCUUCGAAGAAUUUAAAGUUGUGAAUAUUAAUUUAGAUAAAAAUGAUUUGAGCAUAUCAAAAGAACAUUAACAUUAACGUAUUACGUAACAGGAUGAACAAGAUAAAAUAGUAAGCAUUGAUUUCGAUAAUCUAAUUACGGAUGAUGGAGAUACACAUUUCGAGAUGGUACUUUAACAAUUGAAAGUUUAGAUGGAAAUAAAUUAUAUUUAGAUUCAACGACUCAAUUUAGAAUGUGUGGAAAUGGACAAUGUGUAAAUAUUCGACAAUGUGGAAAUUAUAAUGGUCUAAUCUCGUGGUUUAUGUUCUAAAAACUGUAAAUACUGUGAUGGAAUAUUUAAAGAACUUGGUGAGAAAAGAAAAUUGUUCAAUUGCCAUUAAUAAAUUUUUAAUAAUUUGUAAUGAAAUGACAACACUCGUUUCAUUAGAAUCCAUUGUGCAUUGUGUUUUCAUGUGAAAAUGGUAAAGGAAGUUUUGACUCUAGUCUUCUUAAAUAUGAAAAAAUUCAUCCAAUAUACCUGUCAUUGCCAACGUACACAGGCAGCCAUAAGAUGUUAUGCAGAUGCACGACCAUUAACUUUAAAGCUAUUCUAUUUUAUCAUCUUUAAACGUAUGAAACGAAGCAAGAAAUUUGGUUACCAGAUAUAGGAACUUUUGAUCCUUCGAAGAAUUUAAAGUUGUGAAUAUUAAUUUAGAUAAAAAUGAUUUGAGCAUAUCAAAAGAACAUUAACAUUAACGUAUUACGUAACAGGAUGAACAAGAUAAAAUAGUAAGCAUUGAUUUCGAUAAUCUAAUUACGGAUGAUGGAGAUACACAUUUCGAGAUGGUACUUUAACAAUUGAAAGUUUAGAUGGAAAUAAAUUAUAUUUAGAUUCAACGACUCAAUUUAGAAUGUGUGGAAAUGGACAAUGUGUAAAUAUUCGACAAUGUGGAAAUUAUAAUGGUCUAAUCUCGUGGUUUAUGUUCUAAAAACUGUAAAUACUGUGAUGGAAUAUUUAAAGAACUUGGUGAGAAAAGAAAAUUGUUCAAUUGCCGUUAAUAAAUUUUUAAUAAUUUGUAAUGAAAUGACAACACUCGUUUCAUUAGAAUCCAUUGUGCAUUGUGUUUUCAUGUGAAAAUGGUAAAGGAAGUUUUGACUCUAGUCUUCUUAAAUAUGAAAAAAUUCAUCCAAUAUACCUGUCAUUGCCAACGUACACAGGCAGCCAUAAGAUGUUAUGCAGAUGCACGACCAUUAACUUUAAAGCUAUUCUAUUUUAUCAUCUUUAAACGUAUGAAACGAAGCAGAAAAUUUGGUUACCAGAUAUAGGAACUUUUGAUCCUUCGGUAAUAACUUGUAUCUAAAAAUAUAAUGGCCGUAAAAUAAUAAGUUUGGAUUAAACAUCCAUCAGAAGAAUUUAAAGUUGUGAAUAUUAAUUUAGAUAAAAAUGAUUUGAGCAUAUCAAAAGAACAUUAUCAUUAACGUAUUACGUAACAGGAUGAACAAGAUAAAGUAGUAAGCAUUGGUAAGAAGAUUGAUUUCGAUAAUCUAAUUACGGAUGAUGGAGAUACACAUUUCGAGAUGGUACUUUAACAAUUGAAAGUUUAGAUGGAAAUAAAUUAUAUUUAGAUUCAACGACUCAAUUUAGAAUGUGUGGAAAUGGACAAUGUGUAAAUAUUCGACAAUGUGGAAAUUAUAAUGGUCUAAUCUCGUGGUUUAUGUUCUAAAAACUGUAAAUACUGUGAUGGAAUAUUUAAAGAACUUGGUGAGAAAAGAAAAUUGUUCAAUUGCCGUUAAUAAAUUUUUAAUAAUUUGUAAUGAAAUGACAACACUCGUUUCAUUAGAAUCCAUUGUGCAUUGUGUUUUCAUGUGAAAAUGGUAAAGGAAGUUUUGACUCUAGUCUUCUUAAAUAUGAAAAAAUUCAUCCAAUAUACCUGUCAUUGCCAACGUACACAGGCAGCCAUAAGAUGUUAUGCAGAUGCACGACCAUUAACUUUAAAGCUAUUCUAUUUUAUCAUCUUUAAACGUAUGAAACGAAGCAGAAAAUUUGGUUACCAGAUAUAGGAACUUUUGAUCCUUCGAAGAAUUUAAAGUUGUGAAUAUUAAUUUAGAUAAAAAUGAUUUGAGCAUAUCAAAAGAACAUUAACAUUAACGUAUUACGUAACAGGAUGAACAAGAUAAAAUAGUAAGCAUUGAUUUCUAUAAUCUAAUUACGGAUGAUGGAGAUACACAUUUCGAGAUGGUACUUUAACAAUUGAAAGUUUAGAUGGAAAUAAAUUAUAUUUAGAUUCAACGACUCAAUUUAGAAUGUGUAUGUAUACAAUUUUACCACAUAGUAUCGUUGAAAAUUUUGAAUCGGAUGUGAUCGUUCCUUAUUAGAGGAGAAUAUGAUAUCUCUCUAAUAUAUUUUUAUAUAUUUAAAAUAUAUUCAAUGAUAGGCAAUGAUAGAGAUUGGCAUGGUGAAAUUAGAUAGAAGUUUGAAAAUGAUAAGCGAUAUGUAAUUGAACAAACGAAUCAUAGAAAAAAAUUGAAGAUAAAUUUAUGAUUAAAUUUAUGAAAAUAAAUAUAAAUCUGAUGAUAUCUUCGUUAAUAGUAUUCCUAUGUAUUUAGAAGCUGUGUAUUGAAAAAAAAAAAAAAAAAAUAAAAAGAAGAAAAGAAAAAGGAAAUGCUAUGUAGUACUAGCAAUUUGAAAAAUGAUUUGAUAGGCACGAGGUAAAAGAGAUCAAAAAACUGAAAGAACUGAUUGAAACGAAUGUAUAUGUACAUAUAAACAUAAAUAUGCAUAAACGGGUAAUAUACAGUAAAA